RNAcentral lists this ribosomal RNA (468 nucleotides) under uncultured bacterium. RNAcentral describes it as "partial 16S ribosomal RNA". It matches the Rfam family "Bacterial small subunit ribosomal RNA", at positions 28 to 507 of the family's 1533-position model. The record is from RNAcentral.
GACGAACGCUGGCGGCGUGCUUAACACAUGCAAGUCGAACGGCAAGGCCCUGCUUUUGUGGGGUGCUCGAGUGGCGAACGGGUGAGUAACACGUGAGUAACCUGCCCUUGACUUUGGGAUAACUUCAGGAAACUGGGGCUAAUACCGGAUAGGAGCUCCUGCUGCAUGGUGGGGGUUGGAAAGUCUCGGCGGUUGGGGAUGGACUCGCGGCUUAUCAGCUUGUUGGUGGGGUAGUGGCUUACCAAGGCUUUGACGGGUAGCCGGCCUGUGAGCGUGACCGGGCACAAUAGGACUGAGAUACGGCGCAGACGCGAACGGGAGGCAGUAGUGGGGAAUAUUGCACAAUGGGCGGAAGUGGGAUGAAGCGACGCCGCGUGUGGGAUGACGGCCUUCGGGGUGUAAACCGCCUUCGCCUGUGACGAAGCGGGAGUGACGGUAAUGGGUGAAGAAGCACCGGCUAACUACGUG